Molecule: non-coding RNA, 477 nt
Organism: Neolamprologus brichardi
Lineage: Eukaryota; Metazoa; Chordata; Actinopteri; Cichliformes; Cichlidae
Source: RefSeq, a predicted model, not a curated record
CGCAGUCUGAUCUUAAUCUUUCUCUCUGUGUUUGUGCAAAGAUGAAGUUUUGAGUUAAUGAUACACUGGAUUUGCAUCAAUUUCACAACAAGACCAAAUAAAAAAGGAGGAGGAUGGAGGAUGGAGUUAAGCUGCAGCCCUGUUUAAAAGCUACUUUCUAUAUCAAACAUCUGCCCAUGAAACAAGUGAAGCCCUGAAGUGUUACUGUGGAGGUCUGUCGUACUGCCCAAACUCUGUGGAGUUCUGCCAUGGCUUUAACAAUGUCUGCAGCACUGUCUUCCUUCAUGCAAAAUCUACGCCCAGAUAUUCCAAAGGUUGCAUGAAGUCAAAUGUCUGCAGGACAGUGACUCGGCCUGGUGUAUUAUCUAUCCAUUGCUGCUCAACUGAUCUGUGCAACAGAUACUAAUGCCUGUAAACAUGUAUACUGUCAUGUAGUGUGCAUUCUGGUGUUCUCAUAAUAAAGAGCAGUUUAUUUCA